AGUAGUUUGAUCCGUGGCUCGAGGACGAACGCUGGCGGCGUGCCUAACACAUGCAAGUCGAGCGGAGACAUACGACGGAGUUGAAGUUUUCGGAUGGAGACAAAGAUGUAUGUUUUAGCGGCGGACGGGUGAGUAACGCGUGAGCAACCUGUCCUUCACAGGGGGAUAACACAGCGAAAGUUGUACUAAUACCGCAUAAGACCACGGGAUCGCAUGAUUCAGGGGUCAAAGGAGCAAUCCGGUGAAGGGUGGGCUCGCGUCCGAUUAGAUAGUUGGUGAGGUAACGGCCCACCAAGUCGACGAUCGGUAGCCGACCUGAGAGGGUGAUCGGCCACAUUGGGACUGAGACACGGCCCAAACUCC
This 363-nucleotide ribosomal RNA is filed under the name uncultured Coriobacteriales bacterium. RNAcentral describes it as "bacterial SSU rRNA". It matches the Rfam family "Bacterial small subunit ribosomal RNA", at positions 1 to 339 of the family's 1533-position model. Lineage: Bacteria; Bacillati; Actinomycetota; Coriobacteriia; Coriobacteriales. The record is from RNAcentral.